UACGUAGGGGGCUAGCGUUGUCCGGAUUUAUUGGGCGUAAAGAGCGUGUAGGCGGCCAGGUAGGUCGGUUGUGAAAACUGGAGGCUCAACCUUCAGAGGUCGACCGAAACCAUCUGGCUAGAGUCCGGGAGAGGAGAGUGGAAUUCCUGGUGUAGCGGUGAAAUGCGCAGAUAUCAGGAAGAACACCCGUGGCUAAGGCGGCUCUCUAGUACGGUACUGACGCUGAGACGCGAAAGCGUGGGGAGCGAACAGG
RNAcentral lists this ribosomal RNA (253 nucleotides) under uncultured bacterium. RNAcentral describes it as "partial 16S ribosomal RNA". It matches the Rfam family "Bacterial small subunit ribosomal RNA", at positions 524 to 776 of the family's 1533-position model. The record is from RNAcentral.